GGUGCAGUCCAAGAUGGUCAGUGUGGGGACUCUGACAGAAAGGUUUGAGAAACGAACAUCAACCCCACUGCCCAGUCCUGCACACAGCGAUGAUGAAUCAUCCUCUGUUUUCAUGGACCAACCUAGUGAUGUGUCAUGGAGGCCAGAGGAGGAAACGAUGAGUCAGUCAUCUGACGAGGAACUGUCAAAAGAGCCAUUGCAGGAAUCUCACCGUGACCUCAAUGGUGCUGACAAGUUCAUUGUGUGCCAAAGCCAGCUGAUGUCCCUGUUUACAUUUUGCGCUGCCUGUUGUGGGGAAACCCAGGGAUACAUGGAGCAGCAGGAGGGAACUUAUAUAAAAAUAAAUUCUGUGCAACAUGUGGGUAUGAGCGUUAUUGGCAGAACCAGCCAAUGCUGCACCGAAACAUGCCUGCCUGCAACUUCUUACUGAGUGGGGCCAUCCACUUUUCGGGUUGCAUGGCUACCCAGACCAUAAGGAUGCUGAAGCUGUUUGGGCGUCAGUGCAUCAGUGCCAGCACCUUCUUCCGCCAUCAAUGCCUGUACACAAUCCCUACCAUCAUGCAGGUCUGGCAGAAUGAGAAGGCAGGGAUCAUCAGAGAACUGAAUGAGAUGGGGGGUGGGCUAAUCCUCUGGUGACUGCAGGUCAGACUCUCCUGGCCAUUGUGCCAAAUAUGGCACCUACUCUUUGAUCGAGGACAGAAUUAACAAGGUUUUGGAUCUUCAACUUGUCCAGAGCUCAGAGGUCCCAAACAGCACCUGGUGUGAGUUAGAGGGUCUGAAGCGCAGCAUAGAGUUUCUUAAGGAGCAACACAUGCAAGUGUCAGCCCUCAUCACAGACAGAAAGCGUCAGGUUGCCAAGUGGGUGCGGGAGGAGUUGUGUCCAGAAGGAACAAGCCAUUUCUUUGACAUCUGGCAUAUUGGUCUAGGGAAAGCUUUGGAUGCUGCUGCAAAGGAGAGAGGGUGUGAGGACCUGAGGCUGUGGAGGCAUUAUUAACCAUCUCUACUGGACUGCAGCUUCCUAAUGGAGAUCCAGAUGUGAUGUGCCAAGUGGCAAAGCAUGGUCAACCAUGUUCAGGAUAUCCAUGAACACGGCACUCCUGCAUUUUCCCGCUGUGCACAUCCACCUCUGGAGGGAGAAGCAAGGAACAAGGAGUGGCUGGAACCAGGUCCAUCAUGUAUGAAUCAUCAUAUUUUAUAUCUGGUGUUUCAGUCCAACAACCUUUUUCAAGGAUCAACUGUAGCAAUUAAACUGGAGAGUGUAGCUACUAGAACAGCACUGGUGAAGGAUGUUCGGCAGUUGUCCCCACAGCAUCAGACCUUUUCCCUGGCGGCAUCCCUCACUUUGCACCAAAGCACACUGGGUUCUCCUUCCUUGGGAUGUACAGCAGGUUGCCUGGGCGGGUAAGGUAUCACCACCCCGCCCCCUC
Anguilla anguilla (European eel) is the source of this 1427-nucleotide long non-coding RNA. RefSeq lists it as uncharacterized. The transcript has 10 exons. The record is from RefSeq and is a predicted model, not a curated record. NCBI's taxonomy places the organism in Eukaryota, Metazoa, Chordata, Actinopteri, Anguilliformes, Anguillidae.